This 488-nucleotide long non-coding RNA is filed under the name Gallus gallus (chicken). Lineage: Eukaryota; Metazoa; Chordata; Aves; Galliformes; Phasianidae. The record is from RNAcentral.
GGGAACCUUCUCUCCACCAGCAUUUACAGCCAUAUUUGCAAUUUUGUGACAUCACCAGGGAAAAAUAAAACGAUACAGAGAAGAGUCUUUCGGUUUUUGCGUUCAGCUGUAAAUAUCAGCUAACCAGGUAACUGUGCAUCUCUCUGGAGUUGAUGCUCAAAACCACGCCUGAGUGAUUGCCUCUUGCGUUACCUAGCGUUUGAGAGUCCAGAUCAUCAUCAAUAAACUCCUCACCCUGGAUGAUGUUCUGGGUGUCCUCACUAUGAUUAACAGGGCUUGUCAUCUCUUGCUCUUUUUCAUUGUGCAUCUGGGCAUAGACAUUCCUGCCUGGUAGUUUCCUUUUGAACUUGUAGAGGAUGAAAGCUCCAACUGCGACUAGACAGAUAACAAAGAGAACCACAAUAGCCCAGUAGCCACUGCCUCCUCCAAUUCUUUGAGAGUCUGAAUCAGAGUCUGCUAAUGUCACUAAGACCCAGUAUCCUCCCCGC